AACAAACGCUGGCGGCGUGCCUAACACAUGCAAGUCGUACGAGAAAGUCCGCUUCGGUGGAUGAGUAAAGUGGCGCACGGGUGAGUAACACGUGGAUAAUCUACCCUUCAGUUUGGAAUAACGUACCGAAAGGUGCGCUAAUACCGGAUAAUAUCUCGAAUGCGCAGGCAUACGAGAUCAAAGAUGGCCUCUGCUUGCAAGCUAUCGCCGAAGGAUGAGUCCGCGUACCAUUAGCUAGUUGGCAGGGUAAUGGCCUACCAAGGCAACGAUGGUUAGCUGGUCUGAGAGGAUGAUCAGCCACACUGGAACUGAGACACGGUCCAGACUCCUACGGGAGGCAGCAGUGAGGAAUAUUGCGCAAUGGGGGCAACCCUGACGCAGCAACGCCGCGUGAGUGAGGAAGGUUUUCGGACCGUAAAGCUCUGUCGAGCGGGAAGAAAUGUUUAUUGGUUAAUAUCCAGUAAGCUUGACGGUACCGCUAAAGG
RNAcentral lists this ribosomal RNA (485 nucleotides) under uncultured bacterium. Its description in RNAcentral is "bacterial SSU rRNA". It matches the Rfam family "Bacterial small subunit ribosomal RNA", at positions 29 to 487 of the family's 1533-position model. The record is from RNAcentral.